GACGAACGCUGGCGGCGUGCUUAACACAUGCAAGUCGAACGGAAAGGCCCCCAUCUUGGUGGGGGUGCUCGAGUGGCGAACGGGUGAGUAACACGUGGGUGAUCUGCCCUGUACUUCGGGAUAAGCUUGGGAAACUGGGUCUAAUACCGGAUAGGACCAUGGUUUAGUGUCUCAUGGUGGAAAGAUUAUUGUUUUGGUGCAGGAUGAGCUCGCGGCCUAUCAGCUUGUUGGUGGGGUAAUGGCCUACCAAGGCGUCGACGGGUAGCCGGCCUGAGAGGGUGGACGGCCACAUUGGGACUGAGAUACGGCCCAGACUCUUACGGGAGGCAGCAGUGGGGAAUAUUGCACAAUGGGCGCAAGCCUGAUGCAGCGACGCCGCGUGGGGGAUGACGGCCUUCGGGUUGUAAACUCCUUUCGUUAGGGACGAAGCCGCACUUUUUUUGGGUGUGGUGACGGUACCUUUGUUAAGAAGCACCGGCUAACUACGUG
RNAcentral lists this ribosomal RNA (489 nucleotides) under uncultured bacterium. Its description in RNAcentral is "partial 16S ribosomal RNA". It matches the Rfam family "Bacterial small subunit ribosomal RNA", at positions 28 to 507 of the family's 1533-position model. The record is from RNAcentral.